Molecule: transfer RNA, 72 nt
Filed under: Camelus dromedarius (Arabian camel)
Lineage: Eukaryota; Metazoa; Chordata; Mammalia; Artiodactyla; Camelidae
Also listed under: 1 other name
Rfam family: tRNA
About the family: Transfer RNA (tRNA) molecules are approximately 80 nucleotides in length. Their secondary structure includes four short double-helical elements and three loops (D, anti-codon, and T loops).
Source: Rfam by way of RNAcentral
UAGGGUAGAGCUCAGUGGUAGAGUGUGUGCUUAGCAUGCAUGAGGUCCUGGGUUCAAUCCCUGGUGCCCCCA